Molecule: long non-coding RNA, 552 nt
Filed under: Pogona vitticeps (central bearded dragon)
Lineage: Eukaryota; Metazoa; Chordata; Lepidosauria; Squamata; Agamidae
Description: lncRNA (ENSPVIG00000023523.1)
Source: RNAcentral
GCUUUAUAGUCCCCGUCAGCCUUUUUCAGAUUUAUGUGGCACCUAAUGCCUCUGCAUUUUAGUGCAAGAAUAGCCGGUUCCAUUGAGACCAGUAGUUUUUUCCCCCCUGUGAGACAGGUUAGAAAAACCAGCAUAUAUAAGAUUGUAGCAAGGCAAAGAAGUAAUGCGCUCCCCUAUAUAAGUUGAUUUUUAUAUACCUCGAUGAAGAAAGUAUUUCUGAUGCAGCUGAUCAUUUUAAAAUAUACAUCCAUUUUUGUAGUUCCGAUUUGGUGGAGGCGGUGAGAAGGGCCCAGCGAUCUCAGCCCAAGAGGCUCAAGCUCAAGCUAUUCUUCAGCAAGCCAGGAUUGCCAUGAGGGGGCCACCUGGCCCUAUGGGACUCACUGGAAGACCAGGCCCUGUGGGUGGCCCAGGUUCUUCAGGUGCCAAAGGAGACAGUGGAGAUCCAGGUCCUCAGGUAAGACACUCCAUUAUAGCACGGCUCAUCAUUGUUAACAGUAAGUUAAAAAGAGAGGCCUAAAAUCUAGUUGCUCAGCCAAAGUAAAAGAGAUCCUU